GUGCCCAUACCGGCGGGGCCACACCCGGCUCCAUUCCGAACCCGGUCGUUAAGCCCGCCAGGGCCGAGGGUACUGGGGGCCCUAGCCCCCGGGAGAGUAGGUCGGC
Molecule: ribosomal RNA, 106 nt
Filed under: Caldinitratiruptor microaerophilus
Lineage: Bacteria; Bacillati; Bacillota; Clostridia; Eubacteriales; Symbiobacteriaceae
Source: RNAcentral